GCAUGGUCGGGGCGGUUGAGUGAUUUUGCGCGUGGUAGCACUGCCAUCUAUCAACAAACGAGUUUCUGCGUGACGUGAAACAACACACCCGCAAGAGGCGCUCCCACCGGGCGGAAAAUAACUCUUGCGCCCCGACCCAAAACCUCCCGUUUUUUUUUGUACAGUAAUCCCCGAACGAAGAAAAACAAAAAUGAGUGCGCCUAACAACUGAUCGAAAGCAAAAAAUGUGCAAAAGCUAACGACAGAGGUUUUACUAGCAGCCUGAAAGUUUCAUCGUGACCAGCAUAGAGCUAUGAGCAGGCUUUCGAUAUAACGAGAGUAAAUGGUGGAUGAAAAUAGAAUCGAGCAAAACAAAGCUGGCAUUAUAGAUUUAGAAUAUUGAAAA
This is a long non-coding RNA of Daphnia magna, 385 nucleotides long. RefSeq lists it as uncharacterized. The transcript has 2 exons. The record is from RefSeq and is a predicted model, not a curated record. NCBI's taxonomy places the organism in Eukaryota, Metazoa, Arthropoda, Branchiopoda, Diplostraca, Daphniidae.